UUUUUUUGAGCAAAGGUCUAAGUUUAUUUCAAACUUGCCACAAGGGUACUAACUUCAAAGAAAGCCUGGUCAAAUCUUGCUUCCACAAACAGAAUCUUUAUAAAAACAAAACAAACAAAGCAAAACCACUGUCUUGAUAAGACAGUUGGCCUAGGUGCAGAGAGGAACAUCUGUUAAAGUUUAUUGAUCCAGCUCCAAGAUUGUUACAAGUUUAAAUCUGCAAAACUAUGAUGUAUAGAUCCAUUUUGCAGGCUAAAUUCUAAUUUCACUGACCUGGAAGUUAAUCAGAUACACAACCAACUAGUAAAGAAAGAUUGCUCAAGUAUCUUAUCUAAAAAUAAUUAUAUUUUUUUCUCAGAUCUGUGACACUUCAUGUCCUUUUUUAUUCCUAAAAUUAAUCCUCAGAAAAAGGUGAGACAACGUAAACUGAACGUUCUAAUGUAUACUAUCUAUCAUGAAUAAAGACAGCGACACAAAUUUUUUGUGACUAAUAAGAAUUAUUAGUAAAAAUAAAAAUAAUAGUAGUAAAUAUUCAAUGUCAUCGCAUUGAACUAUGAAGAGACAUGAUCAGCCCCUACUGAGAAAACUUCAGUGGUUUUCUAUCCUUUACCACACUCUAAAUGGAAUAUUCUGUCAACUAACAAAUUCUCUCCAUUUUGACUUCCAUUCAUUAAGUAUUCUUAUCAUUAUUUGACUAGCUGUAAAAAGCGCUUUGUGGUCAGAGAAACCUGGUUUGAAUUAUCUGCCCCACCAAUUAACCAGCUUUGCAGGCUGGAAAAAUUAUUUAAACUUUCUGAACAUCAGUUUCCUCAUUGCUAAAAUAGAAAUCUUUUCUCAAUUAGAAAAUAGAAUUCUCAAAUAGAAUUGUUACAGUUACAUAUGAUAACACAUGUGAGGUCCUGCUGUGGCACAGUGGGUUAGGAAUCUGACUGCAGAGGCUCAGGUCACCAGGAGGUGCAGCUUCAAUCCCUGGCACAGCCCAGUGGGUUAAAAGAUCCAGCACUGUCACAGAGGUUGCAGCUGAGGCUCAGGUGCAGCCAUAAACUUUUUUUUUUUAAUUUUUAAAAAAGACUAACUUGGAAGAUAAUGCAUGUGAAAGUAUUUGGUACAAAGUAAGCAUCUAAUAAACUAUAAUUAUUUUAAUUAAAUCACCAUCACCAUAAUUUUUUCCCAGCUAGCAUGGGUAUACUCUGCCCAUUGCAUGGCAAAGAAAUCAAAGCACUAGAUUUGAGUCUUAGCUCCAAAUCUUAUUACCUAUGAGAUCAAAAUAGAUCAUUUAAGGUUUCUCAUUUGAAUUCCUUAUCUAUAAAAUUGGGGUAAAGUAAGAACUACAUUACAGAGUUGUGGUGACAACUAAUUGAAAUAAUACAAGGAAGUAUCCACUGCCAAUAUGGGGUAGUUCUUUUUUUGUUUUUUUGUCUUUUUGCCCUUUCUAGGGCUGCUCCCGCGGCAUAUGGAGGUUCCCAGGCUAGGGGUCUAAUGGGAGCUGUAGCCACUGGCCUAUGCCAGAGCCACAGCAAUGCCAGAUCUGGGCCGCGUCUGUGACCUACACCACAGCUCACGUCAAAGCCGGAUCCUUAACCCACUGAGCAAGGGCAGGGAUCGAACCCCCAACUGGUUCCUAGUCAGAUUUGUUAACCACUGAGCCACGAUGGGAACUCCUGGAGUAGUUCUUCACUAAAUGAUAUUGCUCUUACUCAGCAUGUCCAGAUUUUGUAUUCUGGCCAAUGGAGAGGCAUUCCUGUGUUAUAAGUGAAUAAACUGUCAUUUAAUUUGUUUGUUCAAUAGUUAAAUAUUUUUAGUGUGAGGUGGUCCCCUAGGCCCUCAAGGGCUACUCAUCCCUGGAGAAAGUGAUCAAAUCACCUUAAAAAACAUGUAAAAUUGUGGAUGAAAUCAGAUUAGCUCACCAAUCCUUUUCCACCUAAGAAGUCCUGCCCCAUGAAAUCAUUUGUUCUUUAGUAAAAAUGACUGUAAGCAUAUUAAAAAGAAAUGAAAACCAGAGUACUGAGUUCCAUAUCACAUCUAAGUAGGGAAAAAUGGUUGCAAAUUUCCUGUGGGUAAAGUCCAAUUUGAGGUCCAUUAGUUGCUAGACAUGAGAGUAGUUUCUCAGGAGCUUGCACCCUCUUGUUGUCUGUCACACCCGACCUCAGCUCUGGGCCACACGCACUGAUGUCUGCUCUGUGCUUCUGCCGUGCUGAACUACCUGCACUUCCUUAUGUCAACACCACUGUACCAUCUAGUCCCUCCCUACCUUUCUUCUACACGUGCAUAAAUCUGAAGACUCAGCUCAAGCAUCAUUUCCUCUGGACAGACUCUUCUCUCACAUCAUCAAUACACUUCUUCAGUAUUUCUUUGGACUCUGUCUUAAAGUUCACUAUAGACAUCCCAGGGAGUAUGUUUUUUAUGCUCCAUCUUCUCUAAAGCAUGAAGUGUAGACACUGUAUCUUAGUUCCCUUCUCCCCUGACUUUUCUUAUUUUUUACCUCAGGCCUAGCCCAUAGUAAAUUCCCUCUCUCUCUUCCUCCCUCCCUCUCUUCUUUUUGGCCAUGCACAUGGCAUGUGGAAGUUCCUGGAUCAGGAAUCAAACCCAUGCCACAGCAGUGACCCAAGCCACUGCAGUGACAACACCAGAUCUUUAGGCCACUACACCAAGAGAACUCUAGCUAAGUUCUCACUAAUACUUAACUUGAGACUGAAGAUCAAAAAUUGAGAUAAAAAUAAGCAGUCAUAACUUUAAUUGGAGGGUAGAUGGCAAGUGUUGCGAUCUUCCGGUGUGUUAUUCUUAGCAAGUUUUCUGUUGUUAUUUGUUUUAUUUUGGUUUUAGUGUAGAGUACAUUUUUAAUCUCUAAAAGGGGAAUAAUAAUUAUUAUUCAAGAUGAUUGCAAGAUUUGGACAUGAUAACUCAUAGAUGCACAUAAAGUAGUACUUGGACCAAGGUGAGGGAUAAGUAGGUAUUGCUAACCUAACCCAAUGAUCAGUAGUCUUGGAGUUCCUAUCUUGGCACAGUGGAAACAAAUCCAACUAGGAGCCAUGAGGUUGUGGGUUCAAUCUCUGACCUCACUCAGUGGGUUAAGGAUCUGGUAUUGCCGUGAGCUGUGGUGUAGUUCACAGAUAUGGUUUGGAUCCUAUGUUACUGUAGCUGUGGUAGAGGCCAGCAGCUGUAGCUCCAAUUGGAUCUCUACCCUGGGAACCUCCACAUGCUGUGGGUGCAGCCCUAAAAAGCAAAAAAAAAAAAAAAAAAAAAAAAUCAGUAGUUUUUCAUAAAAAACAACUUAAGCACAAUAAUCAGUAACUGACAUAGACCUUACUAAAGAUUUCAAGGGAAAAACAGAGAAAAGUGUUUAUGUCUCACUCCCCACCACAAGCCACAGAAAAUCCUCAGUGGAAGGCCUCUUCUCGGCAAUAACAGUACUGGGGAUUUCCUCUUUGACCCUUGGGUAACUACCUAGAGGUAGAAUAGUUGGCUUAUAUAACAGAUGAAUGCUAAACUUAAGAAAUAAAGAAAGAAAGAAAGAAAAACCACCAAACAGUUUUUAUAAGGUUUUGUACCAGUCUACAUUCCCACUGAGAGUAUCUGAGGGGUCUAGUUUUUCCACAUCUUCAUCAACUUUUGGUAUAGUUGGUAUUUUAAAAUUUUAGUCAUUUUAUAUCAUAUCCAUAAUGCUCUUAACAUCUCUAAUACAUAAAGAACUACUUAAACUAGUAAGAAAAGAACAAUCAAAAAACAGACAUAAUUCUUGAAAAAGUACUUAACUAAAGACAAGACGGUUAAUUCAUCUGCUGAGAGUAGGAAGAGCCUAAGGAGAAAGAUGAAUCUUUAAAAUGGGCCAAGAAAGGAAUGAGAAUUACUCAUGACUCAGACCACAUGACUCAGAAGGAUUCCGUGGUAACAGUGGGAGCCCAAUUGAGGCAUUAUUCAAUAGGGUUAAAUAAUUUCUUCAACACUGUUCAGUCUCUUGGGAACAGCAGCAGAUAAGCAGGGUCCAAAUCAGAGAUAAUAAUUAUCACAACGAAUUAUUCCAUGAGAAAUAACAGGGUGUGAAAACUGCUAAAACCAACAACUCCCAAAUUCGAAUGAUUUACCUCACAGAGUUUCUCACCUGACAUUGAAGUGCAGGUCAGUGGAUGGUCUCUACUCCACACAGUCACUCAGGGACCCAAGAUCCUUUUAUCCUGUCUCUUCUGUAAGUCUUUGAAGAUCUCUUCAUUCAUCUAGCGGAUGUAGUAAUAAUGCUAGGAUUAGACAUGGGAGGCUUUGAUGAGCUAGGUCUGGAAGUGCCACACAUCCAUUCAAACUUCACGGCCAUAACUUUGUCACUGGUUUGAUCUAAUUGCCAGGAGAAAGGGAUAAAGAAAUUACAUAUCCUGCACAUGAAGAUAAUAAACACAGUGAUAGCCAUGUUCAGUCUCUGACACACAAGGCAAAAGUCAGGUAUCAGAAUAUUUUUCAGUAUAAGAUAAAAUAGAGAUAUGGGAAUUUUUCAAGCUCAGUUUACAUAGUGACAUGAUGUAUUAGACACCUUCAUCUCCCACUUCUCUUCUGUAACACUAGUUCAUGCCCCAGCUCCUUAACUUUUUUAGCACUUAGGCCGGUCUUCCUUUCUGCCUUAUUCCUGGCAUCAUUCCCAGUUUGUACAUGAGCAUUCAUAUUCCUCCAACUCUGUGCCAAGAAUUCACAUUUGUGUUUGAGUUCACUCCCUCUACAGAGAUCCAUUCUAGCUGCCUGUGGUCUGGUUUACCUUUGUGCUCAGUAGUUGGUUUCCUCUGUUGUUUUCUUCACUGACUCAAAAUCCUAUUCAUUCUUCAAGGCUCAGCAUAGUUCAAAGAACAUUUCUCUGGGGAGCUCUUGCAUAAAAACCGAACACCUGGAGUCCCCAUCAUGGCUCAGUUGUUAACGAAUCCGACUAGGAACCAUGAGCAGAUGUUUUUUCUUAAGUGUGUGUGUGUGUGUGUGUGUGUGUGUGUUCAUAAUCCUGAGCACAUGUAUUCAUGGCACAGAUCCAAUAAAUAUGAUCUCAUCAGAAAAGUUCUGAGAUUCUCAUUUCUGCAGUAGAUGGUGAAAAGAUUUAAACUCAUGUGUUAAGUAUAAGAAAUACACAGAUACUCUUUUUUAACAAGAAGGAAUCCUGAAUAAGCAAGCACAAAAUGUAUCUCAGUAAAUAGGGAAGACUAUAUAAAUUGUAUCAUGUUAUGCAAAUACAAAGCAUUAUUAUUACAAAGUAGAAUAAAAUUAAAGUUACAAUUUUGUAUGUUCUCCAGUUACCAUUAAGAAUCCAGUUCAUAACUCCGUUUUUUAUUGCUUUUCUUAAAUUCUCUGUUGGGAGAAAUUAAACUCAUUGGCUAUUUUCCACCAAAAAAUUGCUUAAUAGAGCCAAACACACUUCUGUAACUGCUCCUUUUUCCUAAAUACUGCAGGAAAGCCCCAUGGACAUCUGGUUUAAGCAAAUAGAGGCAUAUGACCAAUUAUGCAUGCAAAGUGGAGAGAAAUGACAAAAGAUUCAGAAAUUGAGGGUUCACAGCAAAAUAAGUGUCCUUUAAUAUAUAAAAUAUAUUUCAGAGAUAUAAAUUUUUUUCUACCGCACAUGAAACUGACAAAAAAUAAAUAUACCAAACCCUUUCAUUGUCUGUAAGGUUCAUCUUUGUAGGAAUCUUGUUUACAAAUUCGCUUUUCAGGAAGUUGAUUUAUAGCUUUGAGGUUGCUAUUCCUUAAAUGUUUCUAAGAAAGUAAAAGUUACCAAGUUAGUACACAGAAUUAAAAACUGAGGCUGAAAUAAAGAAUAAAGACAACUAAAAAUAUUUCAUGCCCUCAUUUUUUUUUUGAAGCCUUGAAGUGAUUUUUUUUUUUAAGAGUUCAUGUUAUGACCCUAGUUGAAAAUACUUCUCUCUCAUUGUCAUUUUAUUCUGUACAGCAUUAAACAACAUGGAAUCUAGGUUACUUCUGAUUAACUAAAGAUUGAAGGAGACAGAGUAUUUUCAGGUUUAACCAUCUCCUGACUAUUCUAUGGACUUCUAUAGUAAAAUAAAAUGCAAGCAAAAUAAAAUGAAAAUAAAAUAUAAAAAUAUUUAUAUGAUUUAACUAAAUUAAAAUAGAUUCUGAUAAUUAGCACUACCACACAAAGGGCAAAAAUGUGUCUGCAGAGAAUACACUGGCAUUCCUUCAGUAACAACAAUGAUAUAUUAAGCAUCUACCUCAUGUGAGGUGCAGUAAGAGUUGAUUUAUAGGUUACACCUAUUAGCCAGAGUGGAGUCCCCCACCACCUCACCACUCACCAGACAACACAUCUGUAAAAGAAAUUCUGGAACCAGUCAUGUUGGGAAAAGAUAUGGCCCGCUAAAUCUACCACCCUGUUUUUCUUGGUCAUGUCCUAAGACUUAAGGUCAUCUGCCCUUUUAGGUCCUCAGUCACUCUCAUCUAUCCAUCCAUUUAUUCAAAAGCAUGCAGUGACUUACUGUGAGUUAGGCACUUCUUUAUGGGAUGCAAACCAGAUACAUUUCCUAUUCCCACAUUACUUUAGUAGAAGAGACAGUUAUCAAAUAGUUACCUAAAUGCCUAAAUAGUUAUGCAUUAAAAUAAGAGCUGUGGUAGAAAGGUAUCAUAUGCUACGAGAAAGAAUAUUAGUGAGGUCUAAUUUAAUUUGGGGACUUAGAAAAAAAAAAGAACUUUAAGAAAAUAACUUUUUUUUUUUUUUCUUUUCUAGGGCUGCUCCAGUGGCAUAUGGAGGUUCCCAGGCCAGGGGUCUAAUCGGAGCUGUAGCUGCCGACCUAUACCACAGC
RNAcentral lists this long non-coding RNA (6773 nucleotides) under Sus scrofa (pig). RNAcentral's name for it is "lncRNA (ENSSSCG00055022948.1)". The record is from RNAcentral. Lineage: Eukaryota; Metazoa; Chordata; Mammalia; Artiodactyla; Suidae.